This 253-nucleotide ribosomal RNA is filed under the name uncultured bacterium. Its description in RNAcentral is "partial 16S ribosomal RNA". It matches the Rfam family "Bacterial small subunit ribosomal RNA", at positions 524 to 776 of the family's 1533-position model. The record is from RNAcentral.
GACGUAGGGGGCCAGCGUUGUUCGGAAUUACUGGGUGUAAAGGGUUCGUAGGCGGUGUGGCAAGUCGGGAUUGAAAUCUCUGGGCUCAACUCAGAGACUGCUUCCGAAACUGCUGUGCUGGAGUGUGGGAGAGGCGCGUGGAAUUGCAGGUGUAGCGGUGAAAUGCGUAGAUAUCUGCAGGAACACCCGUGGCGAAAGCGGCGCGCUGGACCACUACUGACGCUGAGGAACGAAAGCUAGGGGAGCAAACAGG